RNAcentral lists this non-coding RNA (976 nucleotides) under Zapornia pusilla. RNAcentral's name for it is "12S ribosomal RNA". It matches the Rfam family "Bacterial small subunit ribosomal RNA". The record is from RNAcentral. Lineage: Eukaryota; Metazoa; Chordata; Aves; Gruiformes; Rallidae.
ACAGACUUAGUCCUAACCUUACAGUUAAUUCUUGCCAGACAUAUACAUGCAAGUAUCCGCACCCCAGUGUAAAUGCCCCAAACCCCUAUUUAGACCUACCAGGAGAGAGGAGCGGGCAUCAGGCACGCUUCAAUGUAGCCCAAGACGUCUUGCUCAGCCACACCCCCACGGGUAUUCAGCAGUAAUUGACAUUAAGCAAUAAGUGUAAACUUGACUUAGCCAUGGCAACCUCACAGGGCUGGUAAAUCUUGUGCCAGCCACCGCGGUCAUACAAGAAGCCCAAAUUAACCGUCACCGGCGUAAAGAGUGGUACUACAUUAUUAUCCAACUAAGACCAAAAUGCAACUAAGCUGUCAUAAGCCCAAGAUGCACCUAAGACCAACCUAAAAACGAUCUUAGCAUUAAACGAUCAACUGAACACCACGAAAGCUAAGGCACAAACUGGGAUUAGAUACCCCACUAUGCUUAGCCCUAAAUCCAGGUACUUACUCAACCAAAGUAUCCGCCUGAGAACUACGAGCACAAACGCUUAAAACUCUAAGGACUUGGCGGUGCCCCAAACCCACCUAGAGGAGCCUGUUCUAUAAUCGAUAAUCCACGAUACACCCGACCCCUUCUUGCCCAAAGCAGCCUACAUACCGCCGUCCCCAGCUCACCUCCCCUGAGAGCCAAAGCAGUGAGCACAACAACACCACGCUAGUAAGACAGGUCAAGGUAUAGCCCAUGAGGGGGAAGAAAUGGGCUACAUUUUCUAAUUUAGAAAACAUACGAAAGGAAGCCUGAAAAGAAGGAUUCCAGAAGGAGGAUUUAGUAGUAAAGAGGGAUAAGAAUGCCCCCUUAAACUCGGCCCUGGGACACGUACAUACCGCCCGUCACCCUCCUCAUAACCAAUAAACACUAAUAACUAAUGAAGAGACCAGGUUAAAGAUGAGGUAAGUCGUAACAAGGUAAGUGUACCGGAAGGUGCACUUAGAAU